UUUUGAGGUUAAACAUCUGUGUUAUCUCAAGGCAUGGCUAACCGUUAUCUGCUCUGUAAAGUUUUUUUGUACGCUCGUAGAUCAAGGGCUACUAGUAUUGCUGCAGAGCAUCAUCAUCAAUGCCUUCCUCACCCUGGUUCAGGGUAUAGGCCACAACAAGCGCUUUCUACCUUUCUCAGGCCUAGCCUCUUGAUGUUGUUCCAUGUCCUACUUUCCUGUGCAUUAAUUUCUGUGAAUCUGUGAAGGUACAAUUAUACACGUAUGCCACAUUGGGCAUAAUUGACCAAAUAUGCCACAUGAAAUCCAAUGAAAUGUCUCCCUGUGGAUAUGAUCCCCCCCCCCCUUUUUCCCAUGAAAAAGGUCUCUAUAACCAGCAGUUUAAGGUAAUGUCCUGCAUAUUUUGAAACCCUCAUAGUUCUCUCACAUACUUUGUUUUCUCUGAGUUGCUGAGAACUUCCGUGAUCUGUGUUUUCACUUUUACUUCCUGGAACCGUUCCUCAGUUUCUAAUGACGUAGUCUGUAAGGGGAAGCACCGGGCCUCAAACCACUUACCAUGUAAGGGUUUUAUGUGGAUAAGAUAUUGUACAGAGGCACCGAUAAACAUGUAUUCGUGUGUUGGGGCAACUUAUCCCAUUGAUGACGGGCGGUCUGGUCACUCGACACCGCGAUGUUUCGGGACACUGUAAAAUGGAAACAUAACUUCGUUAUAAUUCAAACCGGUUUGCCGAUUCUGUUUUCUUUAUAUGAAACUUAAAAACGCAGCACCCAACCUCAUGUGGCUGGUGAUAACUAUUGAGCAAGUCGACUGAAUUAAAAAACCCC
Long non-coding RNA from Aplysia californica (California sea hare), 822 nucleotides. RefSeq lists it as uncharacterized. The transcript is spliced from 2 exons. The record is from RefSeq and is a predicted model, not a curated record. NCBI's taxonomy places the organism in Eukaryota, Metazoa, Mollusca, Gastropoda, Aplysiida, Aplysiidae.